GGAAAAGAAACCAACAGGGAUUGCCCCAGUAACGGCGAGUGAAGCGGCAACAGCUCAAAUUUGAAAUCUGGCCCCCAGGGCCCGAGUUGUAAUUUGCAGAGGAUGCUUUUGGCGCGGUGCCUUCCGAGUUCCCUGGAACGGGACGCCAUAGAGGGUGAGAGCCCCGUCUGGUCGGACGCCUAGCCUGUGUAAAGCUCCUUCGACGAGUCGAGUAGUUUGGGAAUGCUGCUCUAAAUGGGAGGUAUAUGUCUUCUAAAGCUAAAUACCGGCCAGAGACCGAUAGCGCACAAGUAGAGUGAUCGAAAGAUGAAAAGCACUUUGAAAAGAGGGUUAAAUAGUACGUGAAAUUGUUGAAAGGGAAGCGCUUGUGACCAGACUUGGGCCCGGUGGAUCAUCCAGCGUUCUCGCUGGUGCACUCCGCCGGGUUCAGGCCAGCAUCAGUUCGCCGCGGGGGAAAAAGGCUUCGGGAACGUGGCUCCUACGGGAGUGUUAUAGCCCGUUGCAUAAUACCCUGGGGCGGACUGAGGUUCGCGCUCCGCAAGGAUGCUGGCGUAAUGGUCAUCAG
Molecule: ribosomal RNA, 565 nt
Filed under: Purpureocillium lilacinum
Lineage: Eukaryota; Fungi; Ascomycota; Sordariomycetes; Hypocreales; Ophiocordycipitaceae
Description: eukaryotic LSU rRNA
Rfam family: Eukaryotic large subunit ribosomal RNA
Source: RNAcentral